UGUACAGAGUACACGCCAGAAAACCUUUGGCUUUCAAAACGUAGAUCAUUUAAUUGCGCUUCUGAAUUCAAUAAAACCAUUCCGUGAUGAGCAACAGUUUUGAGAAAUAAACCUAAAACUUUUCAGUAACAAGCACUAUUUGCGGUGGCAGGAUUCAGGAAACUGACAAUCGUUGUUCCUGUCACCCACUAGAGCUCGUCGUCUAAAUCUGUAUUUUUCUCCUUAUUGUGAAAUCCUACGGUAAUAAUCGUCCUUGUGGCAGCCUAGAAAACAAACGGUAGGCUUUGUGGAGUGGAGGGAGACAACGAGCUAAACAGCAGAUUGGUAGCAGUAGCUGUCUGCUAAGAGAAACUUUUCUUUGGGGCCCUGGAGAGAAACCAUGUGAGUCGUCAGCUUCCUCUUCCUAUGUAGAAAAAGCGCCGAGAUAAAACCAAAUGUUGAUAAUAAAAAAAACACACCUACCGAAACAAGUCUCCCGCUCGAUUACCGAGCGAAACGGUAAAAAUCUAACGUCGAUGCCACCGUGUUACAACGUUACAAGCUCACGGGGAGAGCAGGAAAAGUCGCUUAUUGAGACCGGGAGUCUAUGGAUUCGGAAGACGAGCUGGGCCGUCUCCUUGGCUGACGGUAAUUUGGGGAGAGGGAUGAAAUGGGCGGCUUUAGAGAACCUGUCCACCACCGUAAGGAUGGAUGUGUGCCAUCUAACAGAGGGAGCCCAGUGACAAAAUUCAGGGAAAUAUGGGACCUGGGGCGAUGAGGAACAGGGAGUGGCAUGAAGGAGGCCAGACGAAGCUUGCCGCGGAGUCUUAUUUUGAGCACAAACCGUGCAUACGGGGACGAAAGCCGAGACGUCCGGAACCAUAGUGGGCCACCAGAAUCGUUGUCGGAGGAAGGCAAGAGUUCGCCGGGAGACAGGAUGACAAGUUGUCUGCUUGAAAUUGUUUGAUUUGAUGGGGAAGCUGAAAGAACGGAAUAAAAACUUCAAAACACACCGGGGGACUCUCCAAUCCAAAUACUUUUAGAAAAGUUUGAACGAAACCCCCCCCAAAAUACUGUGCUGUUACUGUGAGCUCUGACCCUUCUAGCCACUGUGUCAGUAUCGACCGCUCUGUCCCCUGGAUCCACACUUUCCACCAGGGGUUCAACAUCCAUGUCCCCAUGGAGAGGUGCUGGUGGCCCUGCAGAGAGGAGGGGUCCGACCGCCUCUGGACCUUUGUGUCGUCCCACCACACAGUGCUGGUGGGACGACAUCAACCGUGCCGGGACGGAGUGGUAAGUCCCUGUUGCCAUCUCUGGCCCUAUGUGUCUCUCUUUGACCUUUGUCCCUCUUUGACCCCUGUGACUUCUGGGCAUUGACCUCUGUGACCUUUGGGCUUUCUGUGCCCUGAUCCAAGUCUAGAAUGUUGAAUGUUUAUGGCAUCUGAGGGCUCUGUCCGUCUGAGGGCUCUGUCCGUCUGAGGGCUCUGUCCGUCUGAGGGCUCUGUCCGUCUGAAGGCUCUGUCCAUCUGAAGGCUCUGUCCGUCUGAGGGCUCUGUCCGUCUGAAGGCUCUGUCCGUCUGAGGGCUCUGUCCGUCUGAAGGCUCUGUCCGUCUGAAGGCUCUGUCCGUCUGAGGGCUCUGUCCAUCUGAAGGCUCUGUCCGUCUGAAGGCUCUGUCCGUCUGAGGGCUCUGUCCGUCUGAAGGCUCUGUCCGUCUGAGGGCUCUGUCCGUCUGAAGGCUCUGUCCGUUUGCAUCUCCAGUUGUCUGUAAUCUCUAUAGAUGUGGAGGUUUCCUGGGUUGUGUAUCUCUCAUUUCUCUAGAUGUGUGGUACUGUUUGCUGGAGGCAAGGCAGGGUUCGCUCUCUAUACCCUCUGUAGUUGUUGCUUUGUGAGGUUGUUGUUGCUCUGAGGUUGUUGUUGCUCUGAGGUUGUUGUUGCUCUGAGGUUGCUGGUGACUCUACUGCUGGUGACUCUACUGCUGGUGACUCUACUGCUGGUGGCUCUACCGCUGGUGGCUCUACCGCUGGUGGUUCUACCGCUGGUGACUCUACUGCUGGUGACUCUACUGCUGGUGACUCUACUGCUGGUGGCUCUACUGCUGGUGGCUCUACUGCUGGUGACUCUACUGCUGGUGACUCUACUGCUGGUGACUCUACUGGUUCU
Molecule: long non-coding RNA, 2140 nt
Organism: Salmo salar (Atlantic salmon)
Lineage: Eukaryota; Metazoa; Chordata; Actinopteri; Salmoniformes; Salmonidae
Source: RefSeq, a predicted model, not a curated record